RNAcentral lists this non-coding RNA (684 nucleotides) under Pongo abelii (Sumatran orangutan). The record is from RNAcentral. Lineage: Eukaryota; Metazoa; Chordata; Mammalia; Primates; Hominidae.
AAGUGCGAGCAGGCGCGUGUGACGUCGGGAGGCGCCGCGGCUCCACGGCCGCCCUACUCUGUGGUCCCCGGUCUGGACCCAAACUGCUGACUGGCUGACCCGAGUGGUCACAUUUGCCCUCUGGGGCUUUUGAAAACCUUAAAUCAAAAUUGCUUUUGAAUCUGACAACUCCUGAGGCUACUUUCGCGGCCUCGGGGCUGUUUCAUAUAAGGACGCGAAUUUUCCCGAUCAGGUCGGUCGGCCACGUUACGAUUUCCAAUUUGCGAUCCAUCAGUUACUUCCAUUGGGUCUUCGGCCCCCAGGGACUGUGGAUCGUAGACCCCGCGGAGAAGCCCGUGGACUGGAGCUGUGUCAGCUCUGAUGGAGCGAGACUUCGUCUCAAAAAAAAAAAAAAAAAGGGGGAACUCAUUAUUAGGAACAGAGAACCAUUCAGUUGUAAAGCCAGAAGUAAGGUUAAGAACUUUUGGCCUCAUCUUUCUCAUUUAGAAGUAAGGAAAUUGAUCCUAGAAAAAUUAAUUCAAUUACUCAUAUUUACACAGCUAGUUAAACAGACACUGGAACCCUGGUAAUUAAAGUUGUUCAACUGUAUGCUAUCUGUCUAUUCUUUGUUUUCUGUGUCAAUAAUGCCAUAUUGUUUUAUGUUCCUAGAGUACAAAUAAAUGAAUCAAUAUAGUCACCAGAGAA